This 252-nucleotide ribosomal RNA is filed under the name uncultured bacterium. Its description in RNAcentral is "partial 16S ribosomal RNA". It matches the Rfam family "Bacterial small subunit ribosomal RNA", at positions 524 to 776 of the family's 1533-position model. The record is from RNAcentral.
UACGUAGGGGGCUAGCGUUAUCCGGAAUUACUGGGCGUAAAGGGUGCGUAGGUGGUUUCUUAAGUCAGAGGUGAAAGGCUACGGCUCAACCGUAGUAGGCCUUUGAAACUGGGAAACUUGAGUGCAGGAGAGGAGAGUGGAAUUCCUAGUGUAGCGGUGAAAUGCGUAGAUAUUAGGAGGAACACCAGUUGCGAAGGCGGCUCUCUGGACUGUAACUGACACUGAGGCACGAAAGCGUGGGGAGCAAACAGG